GCAUGCGCGCUAUACAUGCAGUCGAGCGAUGGAUUGAGAGCUUGCUCUCAAGAAGUUAGCGGCGGACGGGUGAGUAACACGUGGGUAACCUGCCCAUAAGACUGGGAUAACUCCGGGAAACCGGGGCUAAUACCGGAUAACAUUUUGAACUGCAUGGUUCGAAAUUGAAAGGCGGCUUCGGCUGUCACUUAUGGAUGGACCCGCGUCGCAUUAGCUAGUUGGUGAGGUAACGGCUCACCAAGGCAACGAUGCGUAGCCGACCUGAGAGGGUGAUCGGCCACACUGGGACUGUGACACGGCCCAGACUCCUACGGGAGGCAGCAGUAGGGAAUCUUCCGCAAUGGACGAAAGUCUGACGGAGCAACGCCGCGUGAGUGAUGAAGGCCUUCGGGUCGUAAAACUCUGUUGUUAGGGAAGAACAAGUGCUAGUUGAAUAAGCUGGCACCUUGACGGUACCUAACCAGAAAGCCACGGCUAACUACGUGCCAGCAGCCGCGGUAAUACGUAGGUGGCAAGCGUUAUCCGGAAUUAUUGGGCGUAAAGCGCGCGCAGGUGGUUUCUUAAGUCUGAUGUGAAAGCCCACGGCUCAACCGUGGAGGGUCAUUGGAAACUGGGAGACUUGAGUGCAGAAGAGGAAAGUGGAAUUCCAUGUGUAGCGGUGAAAUGCGUAGAGAUAUGGAGGAACACCAGUGGCGAAGGCGACUUUCUGGUCUGUAACUGACACUGAGGCGCGAAAGCGUGGGGAGCAAACAGGAUUAGAUACCCUGGUAGUCCACGCCGUAAACGAUGAGUGCUAAGUGUUAGAGGGUUUCCGCCCUUUAGUGCUGAAGUUAACGCAUUAAGCACUCCGCCUGGGGAGUACGGCCGCAAGGCUGAAACUCAAAGGAAUUGACGG
Molecule: ribosomal RNA, 895 nt
Filed under: uncultured bacterium
Lineage: Bacteria
Description: bacterial SSU rRNA
Rfam family: Bacterial small subunit ribosomal RNA
Source: RNAcentral